ACCACCGGCGUUCCAUACGGUCCGCCGUCGCCGAGGACGGCGACAUGGGAGGAAGCCCGGUGCGAUUCCGGCGCGGUCCCGCCACUGUGAACCCGGCAGAGCCAGACGGCCGGGUAAGUCAGGAACUCCCGCUGUCCUCACUGCCCGGGG
This 150-nucleotide non-coding RNA is filed under the name Streptomyces sp. The record is from RNAcentral. Lineage: Bacteria; Bacillati; Actinomycetota; Actinomycetes; Kitasatosporales; Streptomycetaceae.